UACGUAGGGGGCAAGCGUUGUCCGGAAUCAUUGGGCGUAAAGAGCGCGUAGGCGGCCCUGUAAGUCCGCUGUGAAAGUCAAGGGCUCAACCCUUGAAUGCCGGUGGAUACUGCAGGGCUAGAGUCCGGAAGAGGCGAGUGGAAUUCCCGGUGUAGCGGUGAAAUGCGCAGAUAUCGGGAGGAACACCGAUGGCGAAGGCAGCACUCUGGGCCGGCACUGACGCUGAGGAGCGAAAGCGUGGGGAGCGAACAGG
RNAcentral lists this ribosomal RNA (253 nucleotides) under uncultured bacterium. Its description in RNAcentral is "partial 16S ribosomal RNA". It matches the Rfam family "Bacterial small subunit ribosomal RNA", at positions 524 to 776 of the family's 1533-position model. The record is from RNAcentral.